UCAUACCAAAGUUGCUGUGGGUGAAAGUGACAGUCCUGGGACCACCACUGCUGAUUUUGUUCUAGCUAUUGGACUUAGGGACAUGACAGACCUUUUGCUCACUUUCAUGCAAUAAAGAGAUUGACGAAGACACCUCUAUAAGGCAGCCUAGAAGAUGGACGUUUGACAGGCCACAAUAGACUGCUCCUUUCCCAGGGAGAAAACCCCAGGGGCUCCAAAACCACGCAUAGAGAUGGCAGCUUGGAGCUGAUGAAGCAAAAUGAGCCCGAACAUCCAAUGGACUUCCCAGGGUAGGGACUCCACCUACCUUCCUUCACCACAUGUCUGAUGGAGAAGCUCUCUGCAGCCAAAACAC
Molecule: long non-coding RNA, 355 nt
Filed under: Coturnix japonica (Japanese quail)
Lineage: Eukaryota; Metazoa; Chordata; Aves; Galliformes; Phasianidae
Description: lncRNA (ENSCJPG00005019071.1)
Source: RNAcentral